RNAcentral lists this unclassified non-coding RNA (486 nucleotides) under Hevea brasiliensis (rubber tree). The record is from RNAcentral. Lineage: Eukaryota; Viridiplantae; Streptophyta; Magnoliopsida; Malpighiales; Euphorbiaceae.
GCUCCAUCGGCAGAAAGCUUCCUCGACAACUUUCUCGUCAAGCCAUUAAUAUCUGAUUCAUUAGGCCUUAGGCGACCACCAGGAAGCUUGAAAAUUGAAUUACGUAUUUGAAACAGCAACAAAUGAGGAUGCUUGAAUAGUUCAACCAGCAAAACUGCUUCGACACAAGUCCUCAAUCCGUAAGCGGCAUAAUUGGAUUUCAUCCUGAGGACGCGAUCAGCCAAGGUCUCAUCCUUGAAAAGAAGAGGUUGUUUGGAUCCAAAGUAGUAGUUACUGAGCGGGUAAAUAUCGAUGGCUAGGCUUUGGUCGGCGGCGGAAGCUUCGUCGUCGUCGAUAGCAUGCAGACGUCCGUCAUCUCCCAUGGCGUGAAUUAAGGAAAAAGAGGAGAGAAAUCAAGAGAUGGAGAUGAAAAAGGAAGAUAAGGAGUAAAGUGAGUAAAGAAUAUAGGUUUUGGAAGUAUGAAGAUGGGGUGUUGGUUUGGAGUGG